This is a long non-coding RNA of Esox lucius (northern pike), 546 nucleotides long. Lineage: Eukaryota; Metazoa; Chordata; Actinopteri; Esociformes; Esocidae. The record is from Ensembl.
CAAGACAAGACCUUGUCUGUGUCUGCCCCUGGGUCGUUAGAGUGGGAGUGACCGGUGUGUGUUGUCAGGGCGAUGGCAUCAUCCGUAGAUCUGUCGGGGUGGUAUGCCAAUUGAAAGCGGUCCACGGUGUCAGGAAGGGUGGAGCAGAUGUGAGUUCUGACCAGCCACUUGAAGCACUUCAUGAUGAUGGAGGUCAGUGUUACAGGGUGGUAGUCAUUCACUUCAUGAUGGUGGAGGUCAGUGUUACAGGGUGGUAGUCAUUCACUUCAUGAUGGUGGAGGUCAGUGUUACAGGGUGGUAGUCAUUCACUUCAUGAUGGUGGAGGUCAGUGCUACAGGGUGGUAGUCAUUCACUUCAUGAUGGUGGAGGUCAGUGUUACAGGGAGGUAGUCAUUAAUGAUGAUGGAGGUCAGUGUUACAGGGUGGUAGUCAUUCACUUCAUGAUGGUGGAGGUCAGUGCUACAGGGUGGUAGUCAUUCACUUCAUGAUGGUGGAGGUCAGUGUUACAGGGUGGUAGUCAUUCACUUCAUGAUGGUGGAGGUCAGUG